AUUUAGAUAGUUUAUAAUUUAAAAUUUAAAGUUGUGGUCUUUAAGAAAGAGAUUUCUUCUAAAUA
Molecule: transfer RNA, 65 nt
Filed under: Salina celebensis
Lineage: Eukaryota; Metazoa; Arthropoda; Collembola; Entomobryomorpha; Paronellidae
Description: tRNA-His
Source: RNAcentral